GACGAACGCUGGCGGCGUGCCUAAUACAUGCAAGUAGAACGCAGUUGCGAACGGGUGAGUAACGCGUGGGUAACUGCCUCAUGGCGGGGGAUAACUAUUGGAAACGAUAGCUAAUACCGCAUACUGUGCGAUAGACCUGCGUUGUGUUAGCUAGUUGGUGAGGUAAAUGCCCAACAAGGCGGCGAUACAUAGCCGACCUGAGAGGGUGAACGGCCACACCGGGAACGAGAAAACGCCCCGAAUCCGACGGGAGGCAGCCGGAGGGAAUCUUCGGCAAUGGACGGAAGUAUGACUGAGCAAAGCCGGGUUAGUGAAGAAGGUUUUCCGGUCGGAAAGCUCUGUUGUUAGAGAAGCGGUAACUAACCAGAAAGGGACGGCUAACUACGUGCCAGCAGCCGCGGUAAUUC
This 407-nucleotide ribosomal RNA is filed under the name uncultured bacterium. RNAcentral describes it as "partial 16S ribosomal RNA". It matches the Rfam family "Bacterial small subunit ribosomal RNA", at positions 28 to 526 of the family's 1533-position model. The record is from RNAcentral.